Molecule: ribosomal RNA, 120 nt
Organism: Pogona vitticeps (central bearded dragon)
Lineage: Eukaryota; Metazoa; Chordata; Lepidosauria; Squamata; Agamidae
Source: Ensembl
UGAUGAAAUCAUGCCAACCUGAACAUGCCCGAUUUUAUCUGAUUUUGGAAGUUCAGUAGUGUCAGAUCUGGUUUAGGGUCUGGAUGGGAAACCAUCAAGGAACAUCAGAGAUCUCUAGAU